RNAcentral lists this ribosomal RNA (253 nucleotides) under uncultured bacterium. RNAcentral describes it as "partial 16S ribosomal RNA". It matches the Rfam family "Bacterial small subunit ribosomal RNA", at positions 524 to 776 of the family's 1533-position model. The record is from RNAcentral.
UACGUAGGGGGCAAGCGUUGUCCGGAAUCAUUGGGCGUAAAGAGCGUGUAGGCGGCCCGAUAAGUCCGCUGUGAAAGUCCAGGGCUCAACCCUGGGAUGCCGGUGGAUACUGUCGGGCUCGAGUCCGGAAGAGGAGUGUGGAAUUCCUGGUGUAGCGGUGAAAUGCGCAGAUAUCAGGAGGAACACCAAUGGCGAAGGCAGCACUCUGGGACGUGACUGACGCUGAGAGACGAAAGCUAGGGGAGCGAAAGGG